Molecule: ribosomal RNA, 440 nt
Filed under: uncultured bacterium
Lineage: Bacteria
Description: partial 16S ribosomal RNA
Rfam family: Bacterial small subunit ribosomal RNA
Source: RNAcentral
CCUACGGGUGGCAGCAGUGGGGAAUAUUGCACAAUGGGGGAAACCCUGAUGCAGCAACGCCGCGUGAGUGAUGACGGCCUUCGGGUUGUAAAGCUCUGUCUGCAGGGACGAAAAUGACGGUACCUGAGGAGGAAGCCACGGCUAACUACGUGCCAGCAGCCGCGGUAAUACGUAGGGGGCGAGCGUUAUCCGGAUUUACUGGGCGUAAAGGGAGCGUAGGCGGAAUUUUAAGUCUGGUGUGAAAUCCUCGGGCUCAACCAUGGAGCUGCAUUGGAAACUGGAGGUCUAGAGUGCAGGAGAGGUGAGUGGAAUUCCUAGUGUAGCGGUGAAAUGCGUAGAGAUUAGGAAGAACACCAGUGGCGAAGGCGGUUCUCUGGACUGUAACUGACGCUGAGGCUCGAAAGCGUGGGGAGCAAACAGGAUUAGAUACCCGAGUAGUC